Molecule: transfer RNA, 677 nt
Filed under: Nitrosospira sp. TYM9
Lineage: Bacteria; Pseudomonadati; Pseudomonadota; Betaproteobacteria; Nitrosomonadales; Nitrosomonadaceae
Description: partial 16S-23S ribosomal RNA intergenic spacer
Rfam family: tRNA (bases 123-196)
Source: RNAcentral
UAGAGAAAUUCCUGUUUCAAGCGCUCACAACCUAUCGGUUGUCUAAAAGGCAAAGCUAGGGGGCUAAGGAGCCAUAGGCUAAUACGACAAAAGCCCAUCUCUUUGUUUCCAGGCUCUGUUCGGGGUCUGUAGCUCAGUUGGUUAGAGCACACGCUUGAUAAGCGUGGGGUCGGUGGUUCAAAUCCACCCAGACCCACCAACUAACGGGGGUGUAGCUCAGUUGGGAGAGCACCUGCUUUGCAAGCAGGGGGUCAUCGGUUCGAUCCCGUUCACCUCCACCAAUUCGGAAAUCGGAAUUCGCAUGAAUUCAGUUAGAAAGUAGAAGUAAACGAUAACGUUUACUUCUGGUUUUUACCAGCGGCUGUACUUCGAGAAUGGAAUAGAAAGUAUCCGGGUGUUUAUAUUAUCACUCCCUGGUUCUUUGCAAAACUGUUUCUCGACGUUCUUUAAAAAUUUGGAAGAAGUAAAGUAUUUCAUAUUCAAUGAAUACGUGCGUCCUUAAUUGGAUCACGUACUACGGGGAUGUGAAAUAAUGGGUUAGAUUGUAUCGACUCAUCGCGUUUUUAGUCGGACGCGAUGUGAGCAAACAACUAUGACCAGAAGGUUUGGAAGAUAAAACGAAGACUCCGGGUUUCAGGCCGGCUUCCCGAUUGUUUCCGAAGCCCUUAAGGUUAUAG